This 150-nucleotide ribosomal RNA is filed under the name Pteropus alecto (black flying fox). Lineage: Eukaryota; Metazoa; Chordata; Mammalia; Chiroptera; Pteropodidae. The record is from RNAcentral.
GUCUACGGCCAUGCCACCCUGAAUGUGCCCGAUCUUGUCUGAUCUCAGAAGGAAGCAGGGUCGGGCCUGGUUAGUACUUGUCUGAUCUCAGAAGGAAGCAGGGUCGGGCCUGGAUGGGAGACUACCCAGGAAUAUCAGGUGCCGUAGGCA